Molecule: long non-coding RNA, 4863 nt
Organism: Choloepus didactylus (southern two-toed sloth)
Lineage: Eukaryota; Metazoa; Chordata; Mammalia; Pilosa; Megalonychidae
Exons: 4
Source: RefSeq, a predicted model, not a curated record
GUUGCAGCGUCCCUUGGCUCAGGGGAGACUGGGGCUGGUUUCUGGGUUUCUGCCUCAGCCCUGGGUGGGCAGGGCUGGUGCCCUCCAGCAAAGAGAACCACCAAGAAGGCUUUUGCCAUUGACUGUGGCCUGGUGCCCUGGUCUCUGUUUGCUCUGAGAACCUGAGAUGGGUUUUGGAUCCCUUGUGCUGCUUGUGCUGCUACCCUUCAGUGUUCUGGUCAGAACCGGGCAGCCCUGGGUCAGCCUUCCUGAGGUGGAUCUCACCGGAGAGCCCAGGACCAGCUGAGGUCUGAACUUUAGAAUCCUGUCAGAAAACCCUGCGAUAUGAGCUACAGAAUCUCAAUGUCACCCUGCGUGGCUAGUCCUGCGCUCCUGACACAGAAGAAGAAAUAUCUGAAGAUCAUUCCACUACAUUGUGGCUGACAUCUGGGACCUAAACGCAGGAGGGCAUGAUUGUUUCAACUAAGAGAAGAAAUCUCUACUUCUUUUACUCUCUAUCCUUGCAAAGCCUAUACAUAGUGCUGUCUUUUAUACUCAAUCUCUGACUUCUCGGUAAAUGUUUGCAUCAAAGACAGUCUGCUCCCCUCUUCCCAAGCUCCCUAAAGACCGGCCGAGUUGGUUCUCCCUUGGGUACUCAUCUCUCCCCACCCUACCCACCUCAAGCAACCUCAGGCACAGAGCCUCCAUCUCCGCUGUGAAGUAUUUAGCCGGCAGCCCAUGCAAAUCAGUUUUGCCUGCAGGUCUUCUGGGAAGAAAGGCAGGCUCUGAGGCACGGCUCUUGCCCUGCGUUCUGGGAAGCUGCAUUUUUUCACUGCUGCUUUCAAGUGACCCGGAUCUCAUUGCAGAUAUUCAGAUGGGGCGCGAGGCCGAGGAGGCGCCUGAGAAAUGGGAACUUGGCUUGCUUGUUGCCUUUCGUAGUCGGUGGGAGAGAACCACAAGCCAGUCCAGAUCUUAUCUCCCCAGGAUGGGGCAGGAGAACAACACAGCAAAACAGCCGCCCGCCCGUAAAGUACGCCACCUCGUGUCUUCACGCCACACACCCACAUGCGGUGAAGGUGCUGUUUCCCAUGCAGUUGAAAGCAGAGGGCGAAGCAGCAGCAGGGAUUCCCUGACUGAGGCCCGAUGGAGAGGCUCGACCCGGUGAGGGAGCAGUGGACACACCCGGCUCUCAGGACUCCUCUCCUCCACCCCAACUAAAUCCCUGGAGCAGCUUAGACCUGGCAGCGGCUGGGCUGCUCUCAUCGUCUAGAAGAGGCAACCCAGCAACACACCUUAUUAAGCACCUAGUGUGCAUCCCAGACUUAUGCUCUGGGGGAUACAAUUAAGUAAAAGACAGCCCUUGCCCACGUGGAAAGUAAUAAAAAUCGAGUGGAGGAGACCAGCCACAAAUAAAGGAAAAGUUAAAUAAUGUAUCACACACAAACACAUAGAUAAAUCGUACACAAGAGCGGUUACGAGUGGUACAUGACUAAUUGGCAAAUGAAAGACACGUUCACUCUCGGUUUGCUCCCACACUGACAUUUCACUGAACCAACGGAACAGAAGGAUAACACACCACUGCACCUAGCUGAGCUGGGGAGGGUGAGCUGGGGGCGGGAAGGCGAGGGGUUCUCAGAGUAGGGCACCAUGAAGAAGUCAUGGCUGGGGCUACCUCUACAUGUCCCCCAUGUGGUAUCAGAAGGGCUUGUUUCUUGAGGUGGAUCUAGGACCAGCUUUGUUGUGCUGGCAGAAGGCUCCAGUGCCAUCUUCCUACAAGACGUCAAUCAUCCCUGCCCUUCUCUGCCGUCUUGCCUUUCAUCCCUGCUACGGAAGACUUCCUCCAUUGGUCACUGCAUCAUGCCUGCCCUGACACCGGGUCCCAGCUUCUUGCCUUCAGAAUGGGCGCCAGCAGCAGCUUCUCUGCUAUUGCCUUGGCCAGGCCACUGCUUUCUCAGGGCCUUAGAAGGGAUUCCCACUGAAUUGCCAAAGGGACAGUUGGCAAUUGGUCAAUUGCUAAAUGCACUGAACUUGAAGCUGGAUUGGUCUGGCAACAAAUCCUGGCUCUGCCACUGACUAGGUAUGCGACUGACUGUAGCCUUGAUUUCCUCCUUUGUGAAGUGGGUACAAAAAGGAUAUCUUCAUUACAUGAUUGUCAAGAGGCUCGAAGAAGAGUGAGAAUGUGAAGGCAUCUGUCCUGGCACCUGGUGUGUCUGUCAGGCAUCUACUGCUGGGUGGAAAUCCACCAAACUCCAUGCUAAAGCAGUGCUUCGUUGUUCACAUGCAUUUCCAUCACCAGAGGUUCUGGCUAAAAGUGCACAGUCUGAUUCAGAUGAGCUGAGUGGGGCCUAGCAAGUUCCCAGGUGAAGCUGGGAGCACACUUUGUGUAGUGAGGAGCUAAAGGGCUUUAUGAUCCAAAUGUUGCCUUUCUGUGAUUCACUAGUGUGCUGACCCUACCCUGCAUCCACAGCGUCCACUGGUUCUUGCCAUCUCUGUGUUUGGAACCUCUUGCCUUAUCUCUUUAGUCUCUACUUUGCUCUGGCGCUGUUGCUGGCCAUUUUUGGCACUUUGAUCUACUUUCCUCUUUAGACUCUGACUCCACACUUCUUUUCUCUGUUUGACUAUGUCUGCCUAAAGUGGCACUGCUCACACUGUCUACCACUCUUUAAUUUAGUUUCUGGCAUAGCGUCACGGUACUCUGUUGCAAUUUGCCCUGAGGGCCCCUGUGGCUAAAACCCAUCCUAUUUUCCUUUUUUUCCUGGGCUUCCAGGAAGCUUAUAGUUAAGUUUUCUGCUGAGUUAUAACAGUGUUCUCUUUUCCAAAUUUUCUGAUACAAUUAGUUUCUUCCCACUUGCCACCCUUCUUUUAUGAUGUGGUUUGUAAAUAUUUUAUUUUUCAUUUUAUUGUAGAUGUUGCCAUUGCUAGCUGAAUGAUCUCAAGCAAUUCGCUUGAUCUCUCUGGGAUUGUUUUCUUCCCUAUAAAGUGGGGAUAAUAAUAGUACCCACUUCAUCAGAUUCUUGGGAGGAUUAAAGAAACUAGUAUCUGUAAGGUCCUUAGAAUAUUGACUGGUACAUGGUAAGCAACACGAGUGCUACUUAUUGUUUUAUAAACUGCCUCAAAUCCUUUUGGAAAGUGAGAUCAUCAUAAUCAGAAAACACAUGUCAACAUUAAAGUGGUGUUUACUAUGAAGUUAUUGUGUUACACUGGAAUACUUGAGUUAUGGAUCACCUUUUAAGGUAGAAAGAAAUUUAGAACAAGUGAAGUCAAAUGCAGUGGAUAGUAAACUUUAGGGAACUUGGUUUUAUAUUCUAAAAUCAGGGAGUUUCAAGAUGAGUUGAAAUGAAAUAGAGUUUUUCUGUGCCUUUAAACCUGAGAGACCCCUGAUGUGCCAUUCAAGCUUCACACCAUAAAUUGAGCUUUGAGCAUUGCAGCCAGGGCAGAAACAAUUUUCUUACAACUGCUCACUUCUCUUCUGCCUUUGCUCUAGCUUUUCGGUUCUUUCUAGCUCUGGACUUGGGCUGUGUCUCUCAUUGCUGGCUCAUGCUCAUGUAUUAAACCUGAUGACAGGAUUUGGCUACACUGAUUUGACUCUUGCUGUCCUCUCUGGUUUAUGUUUCUAUCUGCUUUAGGAAACCAUCCCAUUGGAUUGAGUCUGCUCCCAGGACUUUACUAGAUGGCCUUCUGGGGUCCUUGCCAUGCCUGCCCCAUACCCUCAUGAUGCCCUCAUUCAUUCAUUCAUUCAAUGAAAUUCAUGUCUAUUCUGUGCGAAACACUUAUGUAAGUCCUAGGGAAUACAGAAAUCAACAAAGCAAAGUUCUGGCUCUCAUGGAGCUUACAUUUUAUUUGGGGGAGAUAAGAGUAUAACAAAUCAAUACAUAUGAUAUACUCUCCACUCUUAAUACUCAAAGGGUGGUCCAUGGGCCAGCAGCAUUGGCAUCACCUGGGAGUGUCUUAGAAAUACAGGGUCUUGGGCCCCCACUCCAGUCCUACAGAAUCAGAAUCUUCAUGUUAACAAGACCUCCAGGUAUUUGUGUGCACUUUAAAAUUUGAGACACACUGCUUAUACAAAGUAGUGGGUCAGUGCUAUGAAGAAAAAUAAAGCUGGGGUGGGAUGGGGUAUGGCGUGUGUGUUCGUGCGCAAUUUUAUAUGGGACAGUUAGAAAAAAUUGCUUUGUGAAACUGCUUUUUCUAUACCACACAGCAUCUCUUAUGCUAAAACCUUCAAAAGAGAGAAAAUAAUCACAAUCCAAACUGAAUCUCGCCUUAGGAAGAGGAAACUAAAGUGGGAGAGUUUGCAUGCACAUUUCUUACAUGUCUACUCAGCUCCUUUUCCAGCACCCUUCAUCAGCUGAAGGUCUGAUUUUUCUUUUCCCUCUUCCACUACCUCUUCCAUCACUCUCAGAGAUGUUGAAUGCCACCUUCAAUUUUCUGUAGCCACAACUGAUAAACAUCUGCAUGAACAACCAUCCCACCAUUUCCUCCUCCUGAUAUGGCAUUACCCUGCUCCAAUUCCCACUCGUUCCUCAAAACUCCACUAGAAGGUGAAUGCGUCUCACCCUUGCCUUGGCUAGUUGGGUGCUCUGCUUCUCUCUUGCAUAGUACCUUGUGUCUCUCCUAUCACAGCACGGGAUCCCAUUGUCUUAUGGUAUUUGCUCAUUUGAAAGCCCCUCUCACUAGAAUGUGGGGAUUCUAUUUAUCUCUAUAUUUACUUAGUGUCUGGGCACAUUAUUUCCUCAAUAAAUGUUUUUUGGAUAAAUGAAUGCAUGCAUGAUACUUACCUGAGUUGCUCUGAAGAUGAUUUUCGUUAGCAUCUAUCAUCUCUUGUGGGUCUGAAUUUCCUGAUGAGGAAAGAGUCUCCAGGUUGUUCAGGCUCUCCCUUUGCACUUC